CACCUGAUUUCGAUUACUCACU
Molecule: microRNA, 22 nt
Filed under: Pristionchus pacificus
Lineage: Eukaryota; Metazoa; Nematoda; Chromadorea; Rhabditida; Neodiplogasteridae
Description: ppc-miR-8239-5p
Source: miRBase by way of RNAcentral